Pelobates cultripes (western spadefoot toad) is the source of this 241-nucleotide non-coding RNA. The record is from the annotation of a GenBank genome assembly. NCBI's taxonomy places the organism in Eukaryota, Metazoa, Chordata, Amphibia, Anura, Pelobatidae.
CUGGUAUGUGCUGACUGGUUUUGGAGUGAGGUAGCGUCAGGAUGUAAUGAUCCAUGUGUUUUGUUAAGUGGGAAUAGAGGAGAAUAGGAGUAGAUUGUGUUGUGUUGGUUGUAGUAAACUCUCUAGGUCUUAGGAAUCCAUAGAAAGCUAUGUAUAUUGCUGCUUUGAUGACACAAUUUGUGUUGGUGUCAAAAGGUUUUAAAUCAAGCAGGUUAGACAGUGCUUUGAAGAUAUGGUUAUC